This 253-nucleotide long non-coding RNA is filed under the name Mytilus galloprovincialis (Mediterranean mussel). The record is from RNAcentral. Lineage: Eukaryota; Metazoa; Mollusca; Bivalvia; Mytilida; Mytilidae.
GUUUGGGCAUGUAUCAUAUUUUCCCUCCGGUUUAUAUGAUCCGUUCAUCCUAUAUAUUGACUCUUAAAAUUCAAGAGUUAAUCUAAAAAUGAGGGUACUUUUUAUAUGGCCUUCCAAAUACCGUUUCGAUCCCUAACAUCACUGAAGAGACAUUUAUUGUCGAAAUCCGGAUAUGGUGUACUAAAGAAAUAUUGACACCGAAUGUUUGUGGCACAACAUCCUGUCCACAAGUUAACAAUUUUUUUUUUCUGUG